UAGUUCGAGAAAAAUAAAUAAAUCUCAUGAAGAUUCAAUAACUGUCAUAGCGUGUCUAAAAUUUGAGACAGACUGAAAUUCAUCAAAAACAAGGAAAUUAUUUGUUUAGAACAGGGAAAUAUUAACUAUCGAAAUGAUCAAACCUGCAUACCUUAAAAUCAUAAGACUUUUUAUGAAUAUAUUACAUAACUAUAACAUAAUAUAUCAUGGUAAAUGCACCAGGUGUUAACUCCAAAUUUUGUACUUUGAAUAAUUUGAAUAAGGACGAAAUCUCAGUUUAAUGAUAGAAGAGGCAGAUUCAAGAUUUUUGAAAGAAAGCGUAAUUCCUGAUCAACCAUUCUAUUAUUGAGAAAAAAAUGGACAAUUUUAAACUUUUACAAUUUUUAUAUAUUCCGUAAAAAAAACCAACAUAUGACUAAAUAUAUUAGCGAUCAUACGCCAUCCUCUGUAUCCGCC
This 456-nucleotide long non-coding RNA is filed under the name Mytilus galloprovincialis (Mediterranean mussel). The record is from RNAcentral. Lineage: Eukaryota; Metazoa; Mollusca; Bivalvia; Mytilida; Mytilidae.